AGCGUUGAAGCAUAAUAGCGUACCGGGAUGCCUUGUUAUGCAGAGCUUUCAGUAGGGGUUGUGCAGUAACCUCAAACCGGAGUAGGCUGCAAAGCCGAAAGAAAAUGCUCAA
This 112-nucleotide small RNA is filed under the name uncultured Lawsonibacter sp. Its description in RNAcentral is "drum RNA". It matches the Rfam family "drum RNA". Rfam says of the family: Firmicutes, Bacteroidetes (1 example), Proteobacteria (2 examples), Spirochaetes (2 examples). Terminator (Clostridia) The record is from RNAcentral. Lineage: Bacteria; Bacillati; Bacillota; Clostridia; Eubacteriales; Oscillospiraceae.